GUAUCUGAAGUCUGACGAGGAUGAGAACCUCCGGGGGCAAGAGGUUCGACUCGAGCGAAGCGAGAGAACGUUGCGUCAGCAACGGCCCGCAGUGGCAAGUCAUCCUCUGUCACCGGCAG
Molecule: small RNA, 119 nt
Filed under: Salmonella enterica subsp. enterica serovar Gallinarum
Lineage: Bacteria; Pseudomonadati; Pseudomonadota; Gammaproteobacteria; Enterobacterales; Enterobacteriaceae
Also listed under: 246 other names
Description: RtT RNA
Rfam family: RtT RNA
About the family: This family represents a bacterial cis-regulatory element known as RtT RNA. The exact function of RtT is unknown although it is thought that it may be involved in changing the cellular response in relation to amino acid starvation.
Source: RNAcentral